AUUUAUUAUUUGUUUAUUUCAUGAUCGAUUGAUGCUCUAUUGUUAUUAUGGAUCAUGCCUAGCUCCCAUCUAUGGAUUCAUUACAUCUUUUUAGUUAUUCCGAAAAAGAAAAAGAAUAGAAAAGAGGAAGCUGUCGUUACAAUGAUGUCUAGCUUCCAUCUACGUUCAUUGAUCAAUACUUUCCAGCGAGUCAUGCGCGCGUUAGGAGACCACCGCUCUCUCGACUUCGUUCGUUCCAUUUUCGAUGUCCUUUUUUCUAGAUUCUAUUUACCACCGUCAUGAUUAAGGUAAGUGUGGUCUAGUCCCUCAAUAUGUUCGAUGUUGUUCACUUAUUGGAAUUCUAAUCAUCUUUGUUUUGGUGGAGAGAAUAUAAUUAAGUUGUCAGCAAAUGAAAUCAAUUUAAAUGGUUUCUUCUGAAGGACAAAAUCUCAAGGCGGGUGUGAUAUGGGGAUAACCGGAUAAUCAUCAAUAACUCCCAACAAAUUGACUUUAGAGAACGACAAAAGUAGGCAAGAAAAUUAUUGGAUUGGCCAACAAUGAGAAGAUAAAAGCCAUGUUGCGUACUCGAAGCUUUAAGACACGUCUGAACAUCCAAGAGAAUGACUCAAACACCUACGGAAGUAAAACGUUUUCUAUAUGUUUCUAAAAUUUUUACUGCAUAAACCUAAAUUACUGCGAAAUAAUAUGAGUGGUGGAUUUGAGACGUUUCUAUGUCAAUCCUGCCGUUGCGUGCGUUUUUGUUUUUAAGCAACGUCAAUUAAUGCCAUACAACUAUCAAAGCAUAAACUUCAUUUUUUUCGUGGAGGUUCGGCUUCACUCUCUAUCCUAAACAUCUCCUGCAAUAAGGACACGCAAAGUCUGAGAAUUCCGGUUCAUAAGUUUGCAUCUCUCUAAACAAAGAGCUGCAAUGGAAAAGCAGAAAAAAAAUAUGAUUCAACUGUGAUCUGAAAUCUUGAGGCAAGCUUCAAAGUUUCUUACUUCUGGCACCAAAGAAUCAUAUUGGCCCGACGACCAGAUGCUGUGGCUCUAGCACCAUGGACGUGGCAGCCACGGUGAAGUAUAGCUUGACCCGGUAUAUGGCAGUAAUCAAAAUAUUCCUGCUACAAAGGAAGCUACUCAAAAGGACUCAAAUACCUCUGGCUUUGGAUCUAUAUCCAUAUGUUUAUUGCAUCGUGCGCCUGCGAAAAGUAUUUCUCCUCCCUCACCUUGUUUACUCAAACAAACAUUCAAUGUUAUGUCUGAAUCUUCCACAUGAAAGCCUGCAGAUUUAAAAGAUCACUGCUUAAUCUUAUACUAAACCAGAUUAAUGUUUUGCUAUUAAAGAAUUCACUCUGGUUUUUCUCUAGGUAUCACAAUUCAUGUUUGC
Molecule: long non-coding RNA, 1366 nt
Filed under: Arabidopsis thaliana (thale cress)
Lineage: Eukaryota; Viridiplantae; Streptophyta; Magnoliopsida; Brassicales; Brassicaceae
Description: ncRNA (AT1G48698)
Source: RNAcentral